AGUGCUUAUGUAUGUGCGAGGCAAAGACAGUUUCUUAGGGCUUUGGUUUGGACGUGCGAUAAUAAAGGAGUUUGGAAGUUGUUUAUGAUGAUAUAUUGAGAAUGCCAAUGUGAACAUCUGCAGGAAUUACUAAGCUGGAGCUACGAUGUCUUCCCAUGUCAAACUGUGGAGGGACAGAGUGAGCACGACAGACUAUGAUACACAGUUAAAGGAGGUGCGUUUUGCAGCUGGCCGAUCAGUUGAGGGUAUUUGACGGUCAGCUGGAGCAGAAGACUCAGGUGUUGCAAGAUCUGUUUGAUUAUUUGCGGGCAGACGAGGCGAGAUCGAGGGGAGUACGCCCGUUCACUGGACAAACUGUGUGACAAGUUCUCCUCCAGAACCAGGAAGUGAGGAUAUGCAAAGAAAAAAAAAUCACCAUUAAUGCAUGAAAAACUGUCUUAACCUAUAAAUGCAUUUAUGUUCAUUGGCCCCAAAUAGUGACAAAAAUUGGGCACUUGUGCCACCCUAAAAAAAAAAACAAUGUAAUUUAUUUUAAAGAAAGAUUUC
This 546-nucleotide long non-coding RNA is filed under the name Carassius auratus (goldfish). Its description in RNAcentral is "lncRNA (ENSCARG00000050180.1)". Lineage: Eukaryota; Metazoa; Chordata; Actinopteri; Cypriniformes; Cyprinidae. The record is from RNAcentral.